This 1485-nucleotide ribosomal RNA is filed under the name Myctolaimus sp. RGD808. Its description in RNAcentral is "eukaryotic LSU rRNA". It matches the Rfam family "Eukaryotic large subunit ribosomal RNA", at positions 110 to 1443 of the family's 3401-position model. Lineage: Eukaryota; Metazoa; Nematoda; Chromadorea; Rhabditida; Cylindrocorporidae. The record is from RNAcentral.
CAGCGCGUAAUCUCUUUAUUGAGAAGUGUCGCGUAUAGUCUGUUCUUGCCUUGGUGCCUGCUGCUUGAAUAUCGCUGGAAUGCAUCUCCAGAGAGGGUGUUAGACCCGUUCGGGCGGUGGGCGCUUUGGUUGGUUCUGACUUGGAGUCGAGUUGCUUGGAAGUGCAGCUCUAAGUAGGUGGUAUACCACAUCUAAGGCUAAAUAUGACCACGAGACCGAUAGCGAACAAGUACCGUGAGGGAAAGUUGUAAAGAACUUUGAAGAGAGAGUUCAAGAGGACGUGAAACCACAAGGGGCGAAACGGAUAGAGUUGAUGAAUUGGCUGUAAUCAGUGCUCUGCGCUGCCUGUCUGCGUUCGCGCUGCUCGGCUCUCCGAGGCGUUCGUAGGCUUAGCUCGUUGGUGCUCAGUACGCAUUUACAGUCAAAGUUGCUGGAUGCCUUGGUUGCUCCUUCCGAACUGUGUGGUGAGGCCCACUUCGGUGGUGUCCUACCUGCAGGAAGGUUGGUGGUGGCUAAGGUGAAUUGAGCCUAGCUUUUGCGAUGAGUCUGGGUGUGAGCGUUCCGAGGGAUCUCCUGGCGUGCCAGUGUGAACUCGUGCGUUUCGCGCUUAGGCAACUUCGUGGGCUCUCUUCCGGCCUGAAAAGUCGACCACCUAUCCGACCCGUCUUGAAACACGGACCAAGAAGUCUAGCAUGUACGCGAGUCAUUGGGCGAAAACCCCAAAGGCGCAAUGAAAGUAAAGGUUGGCUUGCCAACUGAUAUGUGAUCCGUCGGCUUCGGCGGCGCAACAUAGCCCCAUGCAAAAUGCUUGCAUUUGUGUGGAGGUAGAGCGUACAUGCUGGGACCCGAAAGAUGGUGAACUAUGCCUGAGCAGGACGAAGCCAGAGGAAACUCUGGUGGAGGUCCGAAGCGGUUCUGACGUGCAAAUCGAUCGUCUGACUUGGGUAUAGGGGCGAAAGACUAAUCGAACCAUCUAGUAGCUGGUUCCCUCCGAAGUUUCCCCCAGGAUAGCUGGAGUAUGGCUCUGUUAUAUCCGGUAAAGCGAAUGAUUAGAGGCCUUGGGGACGAAAUGUUCUCAACCUAUUCUCAAACUUUCAAUGGGUACGAUGUUGCGGUUGCUUGAUUGAACCGUGACUGGGAAAGAGUGCUCCAAGUGGGCCAUUUUUGGUAAGCAGAACUGGCGAUGCGGGAUGAACCGAACGUUGAGUUAAGGUGCCUAAAUUCCCGCUCAUGAGACCCCAUAAAAGGCGUUGGUUGAUAUAGACAGCAGGACGGUGGCCAUGGAAGUCGGAAACCGCUAAGGAGUGUGUAACAACUCACCUGCCGAAUCAACUAGCCCUGAAAAUGGAUGGCGCUUGAGCGGGAUACCUAUACUCGACCGUUGUUGGCUUGUACGCGAGUAUCGUCUUGCCUCAACGAGUAGGAGGGAUACAGCGGUUAGCGUCGAAGGCUUUAGGCGUAGGCCUGGCUGGAGCUACCGUUGGU